This 347-nucleotide unclassified non-coding RNA is filed under the name Leucoagaricus sp. Its description in RNAcentral is "partial contains 5.8S ribosomal RNA, internal transcribed spacer 2, and large subunit ribosomal RNA". The stretch from base 1 to 71 matches the Rfam family "5.8S ribosomal RNA", at positions 84 to 154 of the family's 154-position model. Lineage: Eukaryota; Fungi; Basidiomycota; Agaricomycetes; Agaricales; Agaricaceae. The record is from RNAcentral.
GUGAGUCAUCGAAUCUUUGAACGCACCUUGCGCUCCUUGGUAUUCCGAGGAGCAUGCCUGUUUGAGUGUCAGUAAAUUCUCAACCCCUCCUGGCUUUUGAUAGCUGGGCUUUCGGGGCUUGGAUAGAUGGAGGUUUUUGCAGGCCCUUUCUAAGGUGUCAGCUCCUCUGAAAUGUAUUAGCAGAACAACUUUGCAAUCUGAUACAGGCAAGAUAAUUAUCUAUGCCAAUUGGUUGCUCUGAAUGUGUUCAGCUUCCAGUCGUCUUCUAUGUGAGACAACAUUUGAACCUUUGACCUCAAAUCAGGUAGGACUACCCGCUGAACUUAAGCAUAUCAAUAAGCGGAGGA